UACGAGGGGGGCGAGCGUUGUUCGGAAUUAUUGGGCGUAAAGGGUGCGUAGGCGGUUCCGCAAGUCCUGUGUGAAAUCUUCGGGCUCAACUCGAAGUCUGCACGGGAAACUGCGGGGCUUGAGUGUGGGAGAGGUGAGUGGAAUUCCCGGUGUAGCGGUGAAAUGCGCAGAUAUCAGGAGGAACACCAAUGGCGAAGGCAGCUCGCUGGGACGGUACUGACGCUGAGACGCGAAAGCGUGGGGAGCAAACAGG
RNAcentral lists this ribosomal RNA (253 nucleotides) under uncultured bacterium. RNAcentral describes it as "partial 16S ribosomal RNA". It matches the Rfam family "Bacterial small subunit ribosomal RNA", at positions 524 to 776 of the family's 1533-position model. The record is from RNAcentral.